Molecule: ribosomal RNA, 433 nt
Filed under: uncultured bacterium
Lineage: Bacteria
Description: partial 16S ribosomal RNA
Rfam family: Bacterial small subunit ribosomal RNA
Source: RNAcentral
AACGAACGCUGGCGGCAUGCCUAACACAUGCCAGUCGAACGAGACCUUCGGGUCUAGUGGCGCACGGGUGCGUAACGCGUGGGAACCUGCCCUUAGGUUCGGAAUAACUCCCCGAAAGGGGUGCUAAUACCGGAUAAUGUCUUCGGACCAAAGAUUUAUCGCCUUUGGAUGGGCCCGCGUUGGAUUAGCUAGUUGGUAGGGUAAAAGCCUACCAAGGCGACGAUCCAUAGCUGGUCUGAGAGGAUGAUCAGCCACACUGGGACUGAGACACGGCCCAGACUCCUACGGGAGGCAGCAGUGGGGAAUAUUGGACAAUGGGCGAAAGCCUGAUCCAGCAAUGCCGCGUGAGUGAUGAAGGCAUUAGGGUUGUAAAGCUCUUUUAACCGGGAUGAUAAUGACAGUACCGGGAGAAUAAGCUCCGGCUAACUCCGUG